GUUAUGGUCGAGUUGUGUUGUUUUCCCCUUUCUUCCCCGCUUCUUUAAUCCUCCCCUAGUCGCGAUCAACCGUGUUUUCUAUCCUUAGAAAAUGCGGGCGUGACAGAUAUAGAUUACAUAUUAGUGUCUAGAUACACUGAGUAAGAAAUAAAUAAUUUUUUCCUAAGUUUGUACUUGUAAAUUUAUUAAUUUCCUAAAUGAUCAUGUAAGGGUAAAUAUGUAAUGUAUUAAUUUCAUGAAUCAUUAUAAAUUUAUUACAAUUUAAAAUACCUAAAAUAUCCUAUUUUGUAUAUACUGUUUUUGUUAAUUUAUCACUACCCAUAAAACUCAGACAAAUACGGAUCAUCUACUUCAACAAUUUUGUUUUCAAAAAUUAAAUAAACUAUAUAUAUUUUUAAAUGCAGCAACAGUAAAAAACAAAUUAAACUAAACAAUCGUAGUUAUUCAGAUUUGAGAUUACUGCUAAUUUCCUUUUUUCAGUUAAUAAAAAAAUCAAGAAAUAAAACGUCAAUUCGUAUCUAUGAAAUCACCAAAUUGCGUUGAAGUGUGACGAGUUCUGACAUUUAAUCAUACUGUAAUCAUUGCUCCUGCUUGUUUCCACUCUCACUGUGUGCCUUUGUGGAUAUGGUGUUUGAUGCUGAUUUUGAAGGUGGAUUGCGCCUCAAUUCCGGCUCGGCGGCGGACGACGGUGGUAUUACAUCGGCGCUUUUGCGAGACGAGGUAAUGGUGGUCCGCUUUGAGCCGCUCUGGCUCUUCUAAGGAUUCUGUGAUUGUUGAGAUUUCCGAUACUGCCCAUCAAAUUAGCCAAGGUUUCUCGAUUUUAGCUCCUUACACUGUUAUAUUAUCUCCUACUUCAUGAAUUUGAUGUGUGCAAUUGUUGUAUUAUCUUCUACUUCUUGAAUUUGAUGUGUGCAUAGUGUUAAUUCGUAUUCAAAUCUGUGGAAUUAUUCUAUUUAUUGUUUAUGAAAUUGAUAUGUUAUCCGUUUUUUUCAAGCUGUUUAUGCCUUUUGUGAAUUGGAUUGAGUGAUUGAUUUCGUUGUGUAGUACUUUGAUUUUUAGUCUAUGCUUUGAUCAUAAGAAAUGUUAUUCUGUUAGCAAUUUGGCUGAAGAGCUUUUCAUUUCCGAAUUUCGCUUUUCGAGUUCUAGUUUGGUUUAUGCAUCUGAGGGCAGUUUGAUUGGGGGAUUCCAUAUGAUCAUCAUCUUACAGAGUGAUACUUUCAUAUGUUUGAAUCCAAAUUUGAACUUAAGUUGCUUCAGUAGUGAAAAAGUCCGGUGACAUAUUCAUUCCCGGCUUGUUUUUCAUGUUGCGCGCGUAGACAGGGACUGCGUGUUGGGAUAUUCUGUCACAAUCAUGGUUCAGUUGGGUUAGAUUGAUGGUGUGGUCGGACUAAUCUCAAGUUGUUUAUACUUUUAUGAAACGGGAUUCAUGGUUACAGGUUGUGCUUACAACGGGGAUAAACAGUGCCUACCGUGCUGGGAUAUUCUGGCACGAUUAUGGUUCCGUUGGGUUGGAUUGGUGGUGUGGUAGGACUAAUUUUAGCGACAGCGAUAUCUUCGUAUGCGAAUAUGUUGGUAGCCAAGCUUCACGAAUAUGGAGGAAAGAGGCAUAUUAGAUAUAGAGACCUUGCAGGAUUCAUCUACGGUGACGAAGCCUAUACUAUUACGUGGGCGCAGCAGUAUGUUAAUCUCUUCAUGAUCAAUGUCGGAUACAUCUCUUAAAGAUGGUUAUCGAGAGAGAUAUAGAUAAGUUGGUAAGGCAUAUAGAGAAUAGGAAGUAGAAAGAGAAUAUUUCUUGUAUGUUUUUCUUAUAUCUUCAAAAGUUCAUUCACCCUAGUAUUUAUAGGGUGAAAUAGAAGGAUCUAGUACACCAAUAAAUGUAAUUGGAACUUUACACAA
Molecule: long non-coding RNA, 1896 nt
Organism: Salvia splendens (bonfire salvia)
Lineage: Eukaryota; Viridiplantae; Streptophyta; Magnoliopsida; Lamiales; Lamiaceae
Exons: 3
Source: RefSeq, a predicted model, not a curated record